Molecule: long non-coding RNA, 1410 nt
Organism: Amaranthus tricolor (Joseph's coat)
Lineage: Eukaryota; Viridiplantae; Streptophyta; Magnoliopsida; Caryophyllales; Amaranthaceae
Exons: 3
Source: RefSeq, a predicted model, not a curated record
UUCUUCAUCCUCAUCAUCGUUUACCUUCAAACUCUCAAUCCCUCUCUUCCCUCUUCUCUCACGUCCCACUCCCCUCACCCACAGCGGCGGCACAAUUAAGCCCAGCCACGAGUUCCACCACCAACAGCAACCACUUCUCCUCCUCCCUUUAUUGUUGGAGGCGACGUCAUCGAGGAACCAUUCUAGCUGUUAGCCGCGAAUCGAUCACGGCUCUUUGAAGCGUCUUGUUGCUUGUCUACAGAUCGGAACCAGUCGGGAAUAAUGGAUUAGCGGAGGUGAAUAGAGUUUCCAAGGAUGUUAAUUGAGCUGAGUACUUAGGAAUUAUAAAUUUGUAUUACGAAUUUUGGAUAAAUGUAAAUCUGUUUUGGCUGUGCUUGUUAUAUCGGACUUGUAGUGAAUUGUAUGAUUAUCUUGUGUAAUAGUUAGAUGAUGGCUUUGGGAUUUAGCUGAGUUAGUCACGUUGAAGAGCUUGUGACCCCUUUGCUUGAGUUUUGGAAGUGUGAUUUCAGUUUCUUGGGAAACGAACCUAGUGAUGACCCUGUUUGCCCAGUCAACGGUAAGUCGGGUUGUAAUAGUAGCAGUCCCUUAAAGGGUCUGGCCAGACUACUUUUAGUGUAAAAUCGUUUUAUCAAAAGCUCUUUUGAAUUGGAAAUUGUUGAGACAAUGUUGUUGUGAAUGCUUAUGUUGAUAUUAUGAUAUGGUCAAUGGAUCGGGCUUGCAAGCUGGUCAUUGACGGAGUUGAGGAACAUUGUUCCCUGCUCCCUGUUUGAAGCGAAUUGUCAUUGAGAUAUUGACUAGCUUCACCCGAGAGUGACAUAGCCUUAGAGCUAUGGAUGUUCCUCUCAACUAGUCUCCCUGUGCGCACAUAUAUCUAUGAAACUGAUGUUGCUUUUAAACCAUUGUUUUGAAUUGCUGUAUUUUAAUGUUUUGGAUUGUUACUUUUCAUUCAGUUUAAUCUGAUUCCCUGUUGUUUCCAUCUUUUAGUCGAUUACAGAUCGGAACCGGUAGGGAACGAGGGGUUAAUGGUGAUUGAAUUGCGUUCCAAGGUUGUAUUUUGAGCUGAGUACGUAGGAAUCUGUAGUUUUGUAUUAGGUUUUUGGAUAAAUGUAUAUUAGAUUUAGUUAUGUUGGUUAUAUUCGACUUGAAGUGAAUUGUAUGAUUACUUGUGUUUUAAUUAGAUAUUUGGUUUGAGAAUUAGCUGAGUUAAUUACGUUAAAGAGCUUGUGACCCCUUUGCUAGAGUUUUGGAAGUGUGAUUUUAGUUUCUUGGGAAACGAACCCAGUGAUGACCCUGUUUACCCAGUCAACAGUAAGUCGGGUUGUUACAGUUGGUAUCAGAGCCGGUUCGUGAAUUGAGGACCUUUGGAUGGGUAAUAAGGAUAUAGGACGAGUGUGAGUUAGAGAAAGACAU